UUAAUGCAUCACUGCUCCUCACAGUUUAAGUACCUCGGUUACAGAAGGUCCAAAGUGUGUUUAUGCUCUGACACUGAGACCUGCAUCAGGAUGAUGUCUCCAGUACCUCUCAUUGUUCUGUUGGGUUUUCUCACUCAGGCAUCAUCUGCCAACAAUUUUCUGACCCAGUCUGAAAGAUCAAAGUCAGUUAAUGUUGGAGGAACUGUGACCAUCAGCGCCACAGGAAGUUCUAAUAUUGGUGCUGAUCUCAGUUGGUACCUUCAGAAACCUGGACAGCCUCCCAAACUUCUUAUAUACGGAGCUUCAACUUUGUUCUCAGGAACUCCAUCUAGAUUCAGAGGCAGUAGAUCUGGUUCUGAUUACAGUUUAACCAUCAGUGGUCUUCAGACUGAAGAUGCUGGAGAUUAUUACUGUAUGGGUAACCAUGGCGGCGGUGUGUUCACACAGUGAUUUACAGUCGUACAA
Molecule: non-coding RNA, 465 nt
Organism: Girardinichthys multiradiatus
Lineage: Eukaryota; Metazoa; Chordata; Actinopteri; Cyprinodontiformes; Goodeidae
Source: the annotation of a RefSeq genome assembly